RNAcentral lists this long non-coding RNA (1403 nucleotides) under Zea mays. RNAcentral describes it as "long non-coding RNA (ZMAY_LNC005553)". Lineage: Eukaryota; Viridiplantae; Streptophyta; Magnoliopsida; Poales; Poaceae. The record is from RNAcentral.
GAGAUUUCCAGGUACCAACUUGCUCUUCAGAUGACUCGUGACCUCACGCUAGACGUAGCAAUACAAACAAUUAUGGUAUAGGCAAAAUUAACAUUACACCAAACAUAAGAUUAAACUGCGUAUUAAUAAUCUACGCGUAGUAACGAGAUCGUAGAAAUUAGAACCACUAAAUUCGGGGCUACGGCUAUCGAGUUAUGAUUUUCCGAAGAUCCACGUGGUUAAAUAUAGAAUAGACUAAGUGCAAUAUUUUAACCUAUAUUUCAUGACAAAACAAAGUUACCAGAUGAUAAUAGAUAUUAUUGUGAGACUAAUGCAACGAGAAUGGAUUAAAACGGAGUUACUGUUAUUGAGUUAUGAAUUUCUGAAAUUAUUUAGCACCUAGAAUAGAUUAAUUCAAUUGAGCAAUUUUAAUUAAAGUUUCAUGGUUAAACAAAGGUACAAUGUGAUAAACAAUAUUAAAACAAAAUUAAUGCCACUGGAAUGGAUCAAUUUGGAGUUAAAAUGAAUUAAAUAUGAAUUAUACAAGUUUCUAAAAUUGUUUUCAUACUAAAACUCAUUUUCUACAUUAAUAUACUCAUUUUAUUCAAUAUUCGAACUGUGAACACUAAUACUUUAAAGACCAGGGGCUAAACCACAAAUUUCAGGGGCAUAGAUUAAAUUUUCUACCACUGCAUCAGAACGGUGGGUUAAUUCUAACAUUUCCCGGAGGUUCUUUUGAAUAACCAUUCGGUCGGAAGGGUAUUGAUGGAUCUCGACCGUUGGAUCAACGCUGGAUGGCCCAGAUUAGAUCAACUUUAUUAUGAAUCAGGGCGCGAUCACAGCCGCACGGCAACCGUUGAUUCCGAGAUCUGCGAACCAGAUUUAAAAUAAGCGAGAACUAGCCACAACCCCCAGAUCUAGAUCGAACGGAUCCUAUUACCCCGACCGAACCGAUCCCAAGCGCAUCCAAUCGCAGCCGUACACGUCGCGAUCGACGACUCAUACGUUUCUUCUAUCCAACAGCAGACCACAGACCGGGCGGCGCCAGCGCAGCCCGUGGCGGCGUUUCGCUGGCGAGUAGAGGGUUGGGCGACCAGGCGAACCAAUCCGAGCAUGCAUAUGUGCUAGAGAAUCCUCUAAUUAUGUACAAUUAGCGGAAGCGAGUCCAUACCAGGGAUCGGGUUCCGAAAUUGUGGGUCCAGGGCAUAGUGCGGCCAGCCGCAGUCCUUGAUGCCGGCGAGAAAUCAUGAGUGCUCCUAUCACCAAUAGCGCCUGGUCUGUCCACGAGUACCCUCGCACAGUUCUCUCUGCUCACCUGACGAAGCUUUUUGUUUGAGUUUGCUCCACCUAUGGGUUACGGGGACAUGGGCUCCUGGCAUGGCACUCUCGGCGACGAGUCUUGUUCUCUUCCUAAGCGGCUCGAU